GAUGAACGCUGGCGGCGUGCCUAAUACAUGCAAGUCGAGCGAACAGACGAGGAGCUUGCUCCUCUGACGUUAGCGGCGGACGGGUGAGUAACACGUGGAUAACCUACAUAUAAGACUGGGAUAACUUCGGGAAACCGGAGCUAAUACCGGAUAAUAUAUUGAACCGCAUGGUUCAAUAGUGAAAGACGGUUUUGCUGUCAAUUAUAGAUGGAUCCGCGCCGCAUUAGCUAGUUGGUAAGGUAACGGCUUACCAAGGCAACGAUGCGUAGCCGACCUGAGAGGGUGAUCGGCCACACUGGAACUGAGACACGGUCCAGACUCCUACGGGAGGCAGCAGUAGGGAAUCUUCCGCAAUGGGCGAAAGCCUGACGGAGCAACGCCGCGUGAGUGAUGAAGGUCUUCGGAUCGUAAAACUCUGUUAUUAGGGAAGAACAAAUGUGUAAGUAACUAUGCACGUCUUGACGGUACCUAAUCAGAAAGCCACGGCUAACUACGUG
This 497-nucleotide ribosomal RNA is filed under the name uncultured bacterium. RNAcentral describes it as "partial 16S ribosomal RNA". It matches the Rfam family "Bacterial small subunit ribosomal RNA", at positions 28 to 507 of the family's 1533-position model. The record is from RNAcentral.